Molecule: ribosomal RNA, 497 nt
Filed under: uncultured bacterium
Lineage: Bacteria
Description: partial 16S ribosomal RNA
Rfam family: Bacterial small subunit ribosomal RNA
Source: RNAcentral
GAUGAACGCUGGCGGCGUGCCUAAUACAUGCAAGUCGAGCGAACGGACGAGAAGCUUGCUCCUCUGACGUUAGCGGCGGACGGGUGAGUAACACGUGGAUAACCUACCUAUAAGACUGGGAUAACUUCGGGAAACCGGAGCUAAUACCGGAUGAUAUUUUGAACCGCAUGGUUCAAUAGUGAAAGACGGUUUUGCUGUCUCUUAUAGAUGGAUCCGCGCUGCAUUAGCUAGUUGGUAAGGUAACGGCUUACCAAGGCAACGAUGCGUAGCCGACCUGAGAGGGUGAUCGGCCACACUGGAACUGAGACACGGUCCAGACUCCUACGGGAGGCAGCAGUAGGGAAUCUUCCGCAAUGGGCGAAAGCCUGACGGAGCAACGCCGCGUGAGUGAUGAAGGUCUUCGGAUCGUAAAACUCUGUUAUUAGGGAAGAACAAAUGUGUAAGUAACUAUGCACGUCUUGACGGUACCUAAUCAGAAAGCCACGGCUAACUACGUG